AAUGAUCUCAGGACCCAAAAAGAAAAUCGACAAGCCUGCCAAUGAGAGUUUGCAAUGUGAUGCAAUCACAGGCAACACCACGGUGGAAACUGGAUGGGCGGCUUUCUUCUCUCUAUGCAUUUUUCUCUCCAAGUCCAUUCUUUCUUUUUAUAUUUUCAUAACCGUGGAUUUCAGUAGAAAAUGCCUUGACAAGAGUUUAGCUGACAGACUGGAAACCAGAGCGGGAAAGAUAAUGUGAAAGAACCACAUGAAAACAUAUACAUUUCUUCAACGUGAAUAGGAACAUUUUAUGCUUCUGCUGAUAUGUUUCAUUCCUUUUUUAUCCUUUAUCAUUUUUCAAAAGAAUUAUUUUAAAAAUACUUUAUAUUAAGAAAAAGAAUAUAAUGAAUAAAGGUAUAGAAAAAAUAUAAAUAAUCAUGAAACCACCACUCAAUCAAAUAAAAAGGAAGUUACCAAUGCAAUAAAAGCCCACCCCUCCCCUCAGCCCUGUAUAUUUCUUCCCUGUCAUAACCACUGACUUUCCCUCUUAGAGUUAGCUACUAUCCUGAAUUUUAUAUUAAUCGCUCUCUUGUUCUGCUUUAUAGUUUUGCUACCCAAGUAUUCAUCUUCAAAUAACGUAAUUUACGUUUGAUAACUAUCUUCAAGAUUUUAUAUAAAUGAAAUCAUGCUCUCUCUAUGUAUAUAUUCUUGCCUUUGAUUCAACAUCAUGUUUGAAAAAGUCAUCCAGUUGGUUGCAUGUAGCUGUAUUUUAUGAAUAUGCCCUGUAGAAUAACACUUUAUUUGUAAAUAUACAGUGUAUUUUGUGUACUGUUAUUCUGUUGAUGGACAUCUGGAUUAUUUCCAGUUUGUGGCUAUCAGAAACAACAACGUUUGAGAAAGAUUCCUACACUUGCCAAUAUGUGCAACGGUUUCUCUACUGCAGUCAUGUUCUGUGAAAGAAUGUGCACAUCUUCAGCUUUACAAGAUAAUACCAGGCUGUUUUUCAAAAUACUUGCACCACUAUGCAAUUUUAACAGCUCUUGGUUUUUCUCUACAUGAUAUCAUUUAAUAUUUGGCUUCUACCUUAAACUAGAUUUACUUUUUUUUUUUUUUUUUUUUUAGACAGGGUCUCACUUUGUUGUCCAGGCUGGAGUGCAGUGGCAUAAUCUGGCUCACUGCAGCUGCAGGCUUGACCUCCCAAGAUCAAGUGAUCCUCCCACCUCAGCCUCCUGAGUAGCUGGGACUACAGGCAUGCACCACCACACCCAGCAAAUUUUUUAUUUUUUAAAAUGUUUUUGUAGAGAGAAUUUGCUGUGUUACCCAGGCCAUCGUUCUGCCUCGUCCUCCCCAAGUACAUGAGCCACUGCAUCCAGCAUGAAAAAUUAGUGAUCAUAAUUUUAGUUCUUUGCUCCUCUGACAUAGCUUUGGGACAUGGUCUAAAUUAAAUAUUACUGGUGCUCUGGGUGCACCGAUAUAGGAUUGUUCUGUAUAUUUCGUGUCCUAGGGCUGCCAUAACAAAUUUCCACAAACUGGCUGGCUUAAAACAACAGAAAUGUAUUCUCUCACAGUUCUGGAGGCCUGAAGUCAGAAAUCAAGGUGACAGCAGGGCCGUGCUCCCUCAGAAGGCUCUAGGGGAGAAUCUCUCCUGCCUCCUCCUAGCUACUGGUGGUUCACAGUGGUCCUUGGUGCUCCGUGGCCUGCAGCUGCGUCACUCCUCUCUGCCUCUAUCUUCACAUGGCCUUCUUCUCUGUGUCUCUGCGUGUCCUUUCCUCUGCGUGUCCUUUCCUCUUAUAAAGACACCACUCAUUGCAUUCAGGGCUUACUCUAAGUCCAGGAUGAUUUCAUCUGGAGAUCCUUAACUAAUUACAUCAGCAAAGACCCUGUUUUCAAAUCAGGUCACAUUCACAGGUACUGGGAAUCAGAACUUCAGUGUAUCUUUUUGUGGCACACAAUUCAAGCCACUACAGCUUGCACUGAGGGAAGGGAAAAGGAGGGGAGGAGAAAAAUUAUUAGCUUGUGAAACAAUUGCUACACAUGCUAUAUAAUUUUUGAUUGCUCAAGAUGUUAGCAUUUCUCACAGGGAGAAGUUAAAAAGCUGCCCACACAAAGUCACACACCUGCUUUAAAAAGAAACUCUUUUGAUUCUACUAGGUUGCCUUUGCAUAUGGGCAAGUAGUUGAAAGAAAUAGUUCAGGGUUCUGAGGAGCUCACCUGGGGCAGGUGUGCCCUACCUUUGCACCUGAGUCCCCUACUGAAGCACAAGAUGACAACAAUGGUAGAACUCAGAAGAUGUCCAGCAAAGGUGCCAUUUGUCCUGGGGACACUCUGAUUUUGUGUGGGUGAUUUUGCAUUUGCUAAAAGUCCUGGUCUUCAUUCUUUUACAGUUUGGUAGGGCUGACCUUACUGUUAGAGGGGAAAAUAUCUCAUGGUUGCAGCAGCCAAGCUAAAAGCUCCAUUGUUUGAACUCAUCCUGCCCUUCAUCAGCCUUAGUGCCGUGACUCACACCUUUAGAGAGUUUACAGUGUGGAUUCUAGUAAAUGUGGGAGCACCCUGUUAAAAGUCAAAUGUCUCAACUGGGGUCGGGUGUUGAAGGAAGAGGACAUUAAAUGAUUUUUAGACAUCACUACUUGAAACAUUGGCUUAACGGAUAAUAUCUUACUCUUUAUUUGGUAGAGUUCUAAGAUGGGUGUUAACCUUGGAAUCUAUAUAGCUUCAGGGGCAGGGAGUAUGGGGAUCAGCUAAAGAAGGAAUGGAUCACAGAAAGCAACUUGGUGAGAUAACAUCUCCUAUCACGACUCCAGAACCUUUGAACACAUCAGUGUCAGACCUGGUAAGUCGCCAUCUCUUGCAGUUAAGACCAAAGAUAUCUUUCUCUUGAUUCUGUCUUCCUGAUAUUUACCAGAUAGGACUAAACCUUGGCUCCACCUUUUACUCCAACUCUUGCGUAUGUUUCUCUCAAUUCUUGAUGAUUUCUGUCUAAAAUAGCAGGUAAAUGACUCUUUAAAAG
Molecule: long non-coding RNA, 2986 nt
Organism: Papio anubis (olive baboon)
Lineage: Eukaryota; Metazoa; Chordata; Mammalia; Primates; Cercopithecidae
Source: Ensembl